UUUUAUGGAGAGUUUGAUCCUGGCUCAGGAUGAACGCUGGCGGCGUGCCUAAUACAUGCAAGUCGAGCGAACGGACGAGAAGCUUGCUUCUCUGAUGUUAGCGGCGGACGGGUGAGUAACACGUGGAUAACCUACCUAUAAGACUGGGAUAACUUCGGGAAACCGGAGCUAAUACCGGAUAAUAUUUUGAACCGCAUGGUUCAAAAGUGAAAGACGGUCUUGCUGUCACUUAUAGAUGGAUCCGCGCUGCAUUAGCUAGUUGGUAAGGUAACGGCUUACCAAGGCAACGAUGCAUAGCCGACCUGAGAGGGUGAUCGGCCACACUGGAACUGAGACACGGUCCAGACUCCUACGGGAGGCAGCAGUAGGGAAUCUUCCGCAAUGGGCGAAAGCCUGACGGAGCAACGCCGCGUGAGUGAUGAAGGUCUUCGGAUCGUAAAACUCUGUUAUUAGGGAAGAACAUAUGUGUAAGUAACUGUGCACAUCUUGACGGUACCUAAUCAGAAAGCCACGGCUAACUACGUGCCAGCAGCCGCGGUAAUACGUAGGUGGCAAGCGUUAUCCGGAAUUAUUGGGCGUAAAGCGCGCGUAGGCGGUUUUUUAAGUCUGAUGUGAAAGCCCACGGCUCAACCGUGGAGGGUCAUUGGAAACUGGAAAACUUGAGUGCAGAAGAGGAAAGUGGAAUUCCAUGUGUAGCGGUGAAAUGCGCAGAGAUAUGGAGGAACACCAGUGGCGAAGGCGACUUUCUGGUCUGUAACUGACGCUGAUGUGCGAAAGCGUGGGGAUCAAACAGGAUUAGAUACCCUGGUAGUCCACGCCGUAAACGAUGAGUGCUAAGUGUUAGGGGGUUUCCGCCCCUUAGUGCUGCAGCUAACGCAUUAAGCACUCCGCCUGGGGAGUACGACCGCAAGGUUGAAACUCAAAGGAAUUGACGGGGACCCGCACAAGCGGUGGAGCAUGUGGUUUAAUUCGAAGCAACGCGAAGAACCUUACCAAAUCUUGACAUCCUUUGACAACUCUAGAGAUAGAGCCU
Molecule: ribosomal RNA, 1033 nt
Rfam family: Bacterial small subunit ribosomal RNA